This 467-nucleotide ribosomal RNA is filed under the name uncultured bacterium. Its description in RNAcentral is "partial 16S ribosomal RNA". It matches the Rfam family "Bacterial small subunit ribosomal RNA", at positions 28 to 506 of the family's 1533-position model. The record is from RNAcentral.
GACGAACGCUGGCGGCGUGCUUAAUACAUGCAAGUCGAACGGAAAGGCCAUGCUUUUGUGGGGUGCUCGAGUGGCGAACGGGUGAGUAACACGUGAGUAACCUGCCCUUGACUUUGUGAUAACUUCAGGAAAAUGGGGCUAAUACCGGAUAUGAGCUCCUGCUGCAUAGGGGGGGAUGGAAAGUUUCGGCGGUUGGGUAUGGACUCGCGGCUUACGAGCUUGUUGGUGGGGUAGUGGAUUACAAAGGCUUCGACGGGAAGCCGGCCUGCGAGGGUGACCGGCCCCAGUGGCACUGAGAUACGGCCCAGACUCCAACGGGAGGCAGCAGUGGUGAAUAUUGCACAAUGGGCGGAAGCCUGAUGCAGCAACGCCGCGUGCGGGAUGACGGCCUUCGGGUUGUAAACCGCUUUCGCCUGUGACGAAGCGUGAGUGACGGUAAUGGGUAAAGAAGCACCGGCUAACUACGU